AUUGAACGCUGGCGGCAGGCCUAACACAUGCAAGUCGAACGGUAACAGAAAGCAGCUUGCUGCUUUGCUGACGAGUGGCGGACGGGUGAGUAAUGUCUGGGAAACUGCCUGAUGGAGGGGGAUAACUACUGGAAACGGUAGCUAAUACUGCAUAACGUCGCAAGACCAAAGAGGGGGACCUUCGGGCCUCUUGCCAUCGGAUGUGCCCAGAUGGGAUUAGCUAGUAGGUGGGGUAAAGGCUCACCUAGGCGACGAUCCCUAGCUGGUCUGAGAGGAUGACCAGCCACACUGGAACUGAGACACGGUCCAGACUCCUACGGGAGGCAGCAGUGGGGAAUAUUGCACAAUGGGCGCAAGCCUGAUGCAGCCAUGCCGCGUGUAUGAAGAAGGCCUUCGGGUUGUAAAGUACUUUCAGCGGGGAGGAAGGGAGUAAAGUUAAUACCUUUGCUCAUUGACGUUACCCGCAGAAGAAGCACCGGCUAACUCCGUG
RNAcentral lists this ribosomal RNA (490 nucleotides) under uncultured bacterium. Its description in RNAcentral is "partial 16S ribosomal RNA". It matches the Rfam family "Bacterial small subunit ribosomal RNA", at positions 30 to 507 of the family's 1533-position model. The record is from RNAcentral.